Molecule: non-coding RNA, 46 nt
Filed under: Trichobilharzia regenti
Lineage: Eukaryota; Metazoa; Platyhelminthes; Trematoda; Strigeidida; Schistosomatidae
Source: RNAcentral
AUACUGCUGAAGAGUCCUGAACUAGGACGAAAUAGCUGUCCAGUAC